Gorilla gorilla gorilla (western lowland gorilla) is the source of this 180-nucleotide long non-coding RNA. RefSeq lists it as uncharacterized. NCBI's taxonomy places the organism in Eukaryota, Metazoa, Chordata, Mammalia, Primates, Hominidae. The transcript is spliced from 2 exons. The record is from RefSeq and is a predicted model, not a curated record.
UUCCGGGUUCCGCGGCGCGCCCCGGAAACGGGCGCCUGGCGUGCUGGGAAUUGUGGUUCGCUAGCGCCAGGUGCUCGUGCUCGGAAGGAUCGCCUGCCCAGUAUGGGGUCCUAGCUAGGUGAAGAAUUUGGACAUUUCAAGAUCUGAAGUGAAAUUAAACUGGAAUGGCCUGUCACGAAA